RNAcentral lists this ribosomal RNA (491 nucleotides) under uncultured bacterium. RNAcentral's name for it is "partial 16S ribosomal RNA". It matches the Rfam family "Bacterial small subunit ribosomal RNA", at positions 29 to 507 of the family's 1533-position model. The record is from RNAcentral.
AUGAACGCUAGCUACAGGCUUCACACAUGCAAGUCGAGGGGAAACGACAUCGAAAGCUUGCUUUUGAUGGGCGUCGACCGGCGCACGGGUGAGUAACGCGUAUCCAACCUGCCCAUCACUUGGGGAUAACCUUGCGAAAGUAAGACUAAUACCCAAUGAUAUCUCUAGAAGACAUCUGAAAGAGAUUAAAGAUUUAUCGGUGAUGGAUGGGGAUGCGUCUGAUUAGCUUGUUGGCGGGGUAACGGCCCACCAAGGCAACGAUCAGUAGGGGUUCUGAGAGGAAGGUCCCCCACAUUGGAACUGAGACACGGUCCAAACUCCUACGGGAGGCAGCAGUGAGGAAUAUUGGUCAAUGGGCGAGAGCCUGAACCAGCCAAGUAGCGUGCAGGAAGACGGCCCUAUGGGUUGUAAACUGCUUUUAUAAGGGAAUAAAGUGAGAGUCGUGACUCUUUUUGUAUGUACCUUAUGAAUAAGGACCGGCUAAUUCCGUG